RNAcentral lists this unclassified non-coding RNA (397 nucleotides) under Hevea brasiliensis (rubber tree). The record is from RNAcentral. Lineage: Eukaryota; Viridiplantae; Streptophyta; Magnoliopsida; Malpighiales; Euphorbiaceae.
UGAGGAAAUUUAUUCAGUUGCUCAUACAACCAUUUAUCAGUUAUGUGAGCCUCAAAUAUAUGUAAGCUCCUCAAAUUUUUCAAGGAAGCUACCUUUAAUACAGAAGGCCAAGUUGGACCUUGCAGAGUGAAUGAGUGAAGAUUUGAUGUUUCCAUCUUAAGUCGCUCAAAAUGAACAAUGUCUUCUCACUUCUGCAUGGAAUUUGAUGAGAUUAACAAGAUCAAAUAUCUGUAGAGUCUUAAUACCAUAGCAGGUAAUGAAACUCAUAUCUUCAAUUAGAGGAGAUCCAGCAAUAAGUUUGCUAAUUACAUCAUCAUCUGCAAAAACAACUCUAAGGGACAGCUUUUUCAAGAAAGGUAAUGUUAUACUACCGAUAGAUGGCACAUGCAACUUGUAG